UACCUUUUGCAUCAUGAUUUAGCUAGUAAAACCCAAGCGAAGAGCACUUUAGUUUGACCCCCCGAAACUAAGUGAGCUACUCCAAGACAGCCUAUAAGUAGGGCAAACCCGUCUCUGUGGCAAAAGAGUGGGAAGAGCUUUGAGUAGAGGUGACAGACCUACCGAACUUAGUUAUAGCUGGUUGCCUGAGAAUUGGAUAGAAGUUCAGCCCCCCGGGUUCUCCCCUCACCACCGUCUUAACCCCACUUGACACCAAGAGAAACCGAGAGAGUUAGUCAAAGGGGGUACAGCCCCUUUGACACAAGACACAACUUUACCAGGAGGGUAAAGAUCAUAAUCAUAUUAAAGGUAAAAUGUUUUGGUGGGCCUAAAAGCAGCCAUCCCAAUAGAAAGCGUUAAAGCUCAAACAUAUCUACAGCCCCUCUUUAUCCUGAUAACUUAAUCUUAUCCCCCUAAUCUUACCGGGCCAUCCCAUGCAAACAUGGGAGUGACCAUGCUAAUAUGAGUAAUAAGAGAGCAUUCACCUCUCUCCCUGCACAAGUGUAAGUCGGAACGGACCCCCCGCCGACCCUUAACGGCCCCAACAAAAGAGGGUACUGAAUAAUAAACCAAACAACCAGAAAACUAUCCAACAAUAAACCGUUAACCCCACACUGGCGUGCCCCUAGGGAAAGACUAAAAGAAAGAGAAGGAACUCGGCAAACACAUUAAAGCCUCGCCUGUUUACCAAAAACAUCGCCUCUUGCAAAACUAAUGAAUAAGAGGUCCCGCCUGCCCUGUGACUAUAAGUUUAACGGCCGCGGUAUUUUGACCGUGCGAAGGUAGCGCAAUCACUUGUCUUUUAAAUGGAGACCUGUAUGAAUGGCACAACGAGGGCUUAACUGUCUCCUCUUUCCAGUCAAUGAAAUUGAUCUCCCCGUGCAGAAGCGGGGAUAGCCUCAUAAGACGAGAAGACCCUAUGGAGCUUUAGACACCAAGGCAGCCCAUGUUAAACACCCCUAAACAAAGGGCCAAACCAGAUGGCCCCUGCCCUAAUGUCUUUGGUUGGGGCGACCGCGGGGAAACACAAAACCCCCACGUGGAAUGGGAGCACCCCUCCUACAACUUAGAGCUUCCGCUCUAGUGAACAGAAUUUCUGACCAAUAAGAUCCGGCAACGCCGAUCAACGGACCGAGUUACCCUAGGGAUAACAGCGCAAUCCCCUUUUAGAGCCCAUAUCGACAAGGGGGUUUACGACCUCGAUGUUGGAUCAGGACAUCCUAAUGGUGCA
Molecule: ribosomal RNA, 1270 nt
Filed under: Parequula melbournensis (silverbelly)
Lineage: Eukaryota; Metazoa; Chordata; Actinopteri; Gerreiformes; Gerreidae
Description: partial 16S ribosomal RNA
Rfam family: Bacterial large subunit ribosomal RNA
Source: RNAcentral